RNAcentral lists this small RNA (74 nucleotides) under Salix viminalis (osier). The record is from RNAcentral. Lineage: Eukaryota; Viridiplantae; Streptophyta; Magnoliopsida; Malpighiales; Salicaceae.
AAUUUGAAUCUCUGAAUGCCCAGUCUCUUAUUUGUUUUUUCAUGUUUUAAAUUCUUGAAUAGGAAGAUAUGAAG